Long non-coding RNA from Ailuropoda melanoleuca (giant panda), 11157 nucleotides. RefSeq lists it as uncharacterized. The record is from RefSeq and is a predicted model, not a curated record. NCBI's taxonomy places the organism in Eukaryota, Metazoa, Chordata, Mammalia, Carnivora, Ursidae. The transcript is spliced from 3 exons.
CCUGGCCUUGCCUUGGGAGACAGGCAGCCACCUCUCCUGCUGUAGUCUGUCAGGACCAAGUGCCCCCCGCUGGCCCUUCUUCACAGGGAGGGGAAUCAGACUCCACCUUUUGCCGGGAGGCAUAUUUAAGAAUUUUCUGGCAUGUUUCAUAACCACACAGAAGCCUGUGACAUAGUCUGGGGUCGUCCUAACUAUGCCUGUGUCAAUGGAAAGUCUCUUGGUGGCUGGUGAUUCACAUCGGUUGUGUGGAGGGACGAUGCGACACGCGGACAAGUCGCUCCAUUUUCUAAGACGAAAUUCUGUGCCUACGUGGGUCCCAGGAAGACUCCCAGGCCUAGAAACACUGUUUCCUGUGACUUGGGAUGUCUUACAUUGGAGUAGAUUGUGAAGCAGUGAUCCCACAGGGGUACAAGAUGGUGUUAGGGACGCAGGAAACUGAAGAGAUUGAACAGGAAACAGGCAAGGGGCCUUGACUUUGGCGUGCCUUUGAUUUGUGAGACAAUAGCAUAGAAGGCCUGUCCUUGGAAGACAGUGGUAUUCCAUACCCGCUGCAGCCACCUGUGGUCUCCAUGAAUGUUAAAACCAUUGGCAAUCAAGUUCCUGGUACCACCAGACCCUCAUUCUCCUGACCCCAGUGUGAAAGGCACUUGGGGUUCCGCGUGUGGAAAUUGGACUGUAGAUAAUUGUUUUGUUAGAGGGGAAUUGGGAGGCUGAGUGCAUUCAAAUGUAUUUCCGAGCAGUAUUCGGAAGCCUCCUGUAAGGACACUGAUUGCACCAGGCAAUGUUUGCCUGAUGCCAGCUCAUUAGGAGAAGCCAUUCUGGGCCUAGCUUGAGUGAGCCCAGGGAAAGAUAAACAGUGUCGCUGUAGCUGGUGCGUUGUUGCUCCCCAGCGUAGCUCGCGGUCUCCUUACCCUUGAUUGAGUUUAUUCUAUGCACGGAGUUUUGCUAAAGGCCUCAGAGUCCCAACAUGCCAGGCCAUUGCCAAAGGGUAGUAGCGCUAACAGCUGGAGUUCCUAUCUGCUGCUGAAUGAUGAAGAGGAACCUGACUGUCACGAGGGCCAAUGCCUUGGACCGUUUGGUAUGGUCCACAAAUGGGUCCAGACAUCGCCACUGUGGGGUCGACGUGGGCUGGCAGACACCUGCGGACACCAGGUAUUUUCCACUUUGGGGUCCAGCAUCACUGACCACCUUGUCCGAGGCUGGGCAGAUGCCCGUAAGGCCAGACCCCAGGCAAGCAUUUCUGAGCGUGGGAUGGGUGGGAUCGGUGGGAUGUCGUCAGGCGAAUGGCGUGUUAUACAAAGAUGAGUUCAUCAGUAAACAAAUACAAGGAGAGAGAAAGAGAAAGUGAGCAAAUAAAUUCCAAAUAAAUUUGGAAAACUGGGCUCAAGAAAGGGAGUUUUUUGCUUCUUUUGAAACAAGAUCUCUCAGAGCUGUUCGUCUGCCACCAUGCAUGGUGACCGUCCAAAAGGAGAUGUAGCAUUUUCCACACCUCAUUUGACCAGUAGAACCAUCUGCUUGUGACCACCGUGGGUGACUUAGUAUUCUAGCGGCGACUUGGGGGUGUGCUGUCCUACACGAGAGCUGCUUGAAGGGUAGCGGGGGAAGUACAGAAAUCGAGAGGAAGCUCUUAGCAUUUUUCUAGCAAUUGCACCGAGUAAUUUGUAUUUGUCUGUUGAGCCUGAUAACAAUGUCAUGGGGCUUAUAGUUUGUGUUUCUUUGUUUUAUUAAUUUUAUGUUCCUAGUAGUUAAUUUUUAGGGCACUUUACAGAAAAUUUCCAUCUGCAACACACUGAAAAUGUGCAAAAACAGUCCUUCCCCAUCUAAUCUGAGAGCAUCCCCACCAACAUCUAGAUCUUUCCGGCACCACGUCAAGAGCACAAAGGUUAUCCCGGAUAGACUCUGGGCUACCUUCUAGCAUCCCUGAUCCCCGCCCGUCGUGGCCCGUCCACCCCGAGGCCCAGAACGAGGAGCCACAGCAUGUGCCUCGUCCGAAGAGAAGUUCGGGAGGAGCCAGAAGGAGACAGCCGUCGCCCCACGCGACCUGCCGCGUGCAGCUCCGCUCACGUGCCAGUCGCCCUCCCACCCUGGGAAUAUUGCUGACAGCUCUUUGAAAACUUAAGAAAGUAUGACAGGCUUUCAGGAAUGGUGACUUCCCACCACGGCAGGGAGGCAUGGGAGGAUUUAAGCAGCUCGCUUUAAACAAUGCUUGGCUUUUGUUCUCCCUAAUCGUGCUGGUCAUGUGGGUUUUUUCCACAGCUUUCUGAAGUGUUCUCCAAUAGAGGACUUCAGGCUUUUAAAAACAGUAAUUUUGGUAACAAUGGUAAUUACUUUAAUUGGAGUUCUUUAAAGGUAGCUCCUUCUCGCCCACCUCCUCCGAGACAUGAAGCAUGCUGUCACCCAUUGCGUCACUCCAAAUCAGCACGGUAUUCUUUCCUCUUUAGCGCUGUUAAUGGGCAUGCUAGGAGGGAAGUCAAAAAACUUCCAGAACUCACUAUUUUUUAGUCUAGAAUAAUUACAAGUAAUUUUUCCCUUGUUUCCAGGUAGUGGUAGAUAAUCAGCUUUAUGUGUAGAAAAAUAUGCACAUUGUAUACGGGCUCCCCAGUUAGGCCUUUCACAGGGGAUUAGAACUCUUAACGCCCCACUGCGCUCCAUUUCGUCACAAAAGCCUUUGGCACAAUCUUUUUGGCUGUCAUGCUUCUGGGGGCCUUGUGUAGUUAUUAAGUGACAUUAGGUAGCCCUGCAUAGGGUCUUUUAUCCCCAAAUAGCCACAUUCUCUAGAAUAGUUGUUUGAGCUGCUUGAUACACCCUCGGGAGGUAGGCAAAGUAUCAUGACCUUCCCUUUCAGUAGGAGGCAGGUGAAGGGCUGCAGAACCUUCCUGAAGGAACCCCAUGGAUGUGGGGUCAGGGAGCUCACAGAGACACCCACAAGGACAAGUAUUCCCUCGGGGCCCGGCUGGACAACUUUCUCCACUUACCACCUUUACUGUGACAAUGGGCCAACCCUUUGGCCUCGGACUUCUAUUUCAUGCCAAGUUGUGAUGUCCUGGUUGGUGUUGGGUGAAACUGCUGUGAAAUGUAUCCUAGAACACAUUCCCUAGAAGCCUGAGGAGCUUUGAACUUGGCCUCUGCAGCUCCUGGAUUGUGAUGAGCAAAAGCAAGUGCGAUUCUGAUGCUGCCAUUUGCUCUGUGCACAAUGGAGCAUCUCAGCCUCAAACAGCCACGUACAGGCCAACAGACUCAGCAAGCAUGCUUCCCCUCUUCGAAGCAUCCUCGCUAAUACAGGAAGAAGGAGCUAGAGAAUUAGGGCAGCGCCGUGUGCCUAACAAUGAGUGGAUCCGCCACCAGCGCCUGCUCAUACGACUACAAGAGCUAACCAGGGGGAGAGAACCUCCCCCUGGAAAGCGCGCCCCGGCUUUGGACGUUUCUUGCCAAAACCAAUCGUACCUGCAUCGGAUUAAGUCUCUAGAUCUAAAUAUGAACUCAUAGGAAAUUCAAAGCACAGAGAAACCCAUUAAGUGACAUCUUGGGGAUGCAACCAGCAAAAUCCAGACUGUGGGAUCACUGGCUGGAUAUUCGAUAAUAAUCAGAAAUUGAUUUCAUUUCUAAAAGGAAUGAUAAUGGUUUUAUGGAUUUGAGCUUAAAAGCUCUGAUCUUUCCAAGAAACCUUCUGAAGUAUUUAUAGAUGAGGUGAUACAAUGUCAGGGGUGGACGUUGGGGAAGUGGGGGGGAUUAUGGGUAAAACGAGGCUGGCUAUGAGCUGGAAAUCGUUGAUUUCAGGUGACAGGGCAUGGAGUUAUCUUGUCCACGUUGGCAUAGAUUUAAAAUGUGCGUCACGUGGAUGCGGCUGUUGGUGUCGUGCGGAUGGGACAGUGGUGUGUAACGAGGCGGUUUUAGGAGGGACGGGAGAAUGAACCAGGGCUGGGUCCGAGCCCCAGGGGGAGGGAGAGGCAUGGCUGUGUCUAAGCCCAUAAACCCCCCCAUCGGUGUGCCCCCGGCAGUAUGGCUGGCACCAUCCAGGCUCCUGACUGCACGCAAGCUGCUGUGCCUGGGGUGGGGGCGGGAACUGAGAACCGCUACCCACCCAGCCGGAGGCACUGUUUGCCGAGGGUUCGUGAUCUGCUGCUGUCUCACCUCCAAGGUCCGGUCCCCUGUGAUGACUCCUGCAGGCAGUCAUGCCCUCUUCCAGGCUCCCCAGCUCCUCAUUCAAACUUGCGCGGAUGACAGUCUCACCUGCAUUUCGGUAGGUUGUGUUCGGCCCCUCGUCACCACUGCCACACGUCCGCAUGGGGCAGGGCCCAUGAGGGAGCCCAGAGCAACUCCACACGGGAGGCAUUUGAAACCUUCCUAUGGGUUAUGAACCAGACUGCCUCCUCGUUCCCCUGGCAGGCAAGUUGAAAGGGAUUGACCAUAAACUGAAAGCAGAGUGUGGAUGCUGGACAAGAAGGGGCAGCUUUGCCCUUCAUGGGGUCUGACAUUGGCCAGGAGAUGCUCAGCCAGGAUCCAGACCCUCAGCUCUUUCCACAGCCCCUCGAGCAGCUGCGUCUGAACUCCUUCCUCCGCGUCAAGUGCAUUGAGGACCUAGGACCAACGUGAUCCUGCAGGCGCUUGCCCUGAGGUCCCGCUCUGGGUCUGAGUAUACCACGUGCUCACACUCUGCUCUGCGAGCUCAGAAGGUGCCCUUACAGGCAGCCUUGCCCUGGGAACCUGGGGAGAAGGUCCAGCGAUGGAGAGAACUCAGGUCCACCCAGGGCACCCUGGAAGGGAGCCUGAAGGAGAAGGCCUGGGGGCCACAUCCCAGUCUCUGCUCGGAUUUCUGGGGGCUGGGCUCCGGGGUGCCACCUUCUGCCAGUGCUGCUGAGACCUUGGACCCGUUCCAGGCCGAGUAAUUACAUUCUGCCUGUUAAUCUCCCUCUGCAGCCGCAACUGGAUACUGUUGUCAUUGCGUUUGCUUUUUCAAACCAGCUUUCAGAGUGUCGUCUGCCGACUGUGCUACCAGGAGCUGUCUCACAAGGUGGAGACACAGAGCAGAACCAGGGCCUUGCUUCCAGAGUGCCAGUCCCUGUUCCCACUGCUCGGAGCUGCGACUCCUUGGGGACAGAUGGCGGUGGCUGGGGUGAGGAGGUGCUGGGGACCUUCCUGUCUGCUUGUCCCGUUCAGCUCACGAAGGGGCAGAGCAAGGCAGCUGCGGUGCUGAGCGACAGACACCUAGCGUGGGUCCCCCUGGGCAGCAGCCCACCAGGGUCCAGCCUGGCUCUGCGGGGGGCGUGUCUGAGUGGGGUAGACCUCUGCCAUGUCUUCUGAUUUUACCAUGAUUCACUUUGGAGUCUGGGAAUGCGAAAUCAGGUCGCCUACUCCUGGUCGACCGUUUGGCCCACCAGGUUCCCUUGGCUCCAUGGCAGCCAAGCGGGGUUGGAAUGAGCAAAGCAGGGCCUUUCUGCAGGCACAGCACUCCCAACCCCUGGGUCAGAAGGACCUAGAGAGUAUCCAGCCCAGUCAUGGUCAGACAUUCCAUAGUCACAGAAGUCUUCUUGAAACGUGGGUAUCAGAGACCAGAAGAGGGGUUGCUUGAUUCAUUCCCCCUCCCCCAUUGCCCUCCUUCUCACCCUUCAGGGCUUGAAUCUCACACGUGUUGUGGCUCAUGGGGGCUUCUGGGCAGUGGUGCAAUGCGGCAGAAUCCUGGGGCCCAUCCGAGCAUGGCUUGAACCCGCUGUCCAAGUCCAACCUCCUCAUUGUGCAUGUGGGAAACCGAGGCUUGAGGUCACACAGCUGUGAUGGGCAGAAGCAGGACCAGAACUCCCUCAGCUCUUUAUGACCUGUCCAAGGUUCUCCUGUGGCACAGCCACACUCCUUUUGUCUCCUCCAGCACCCCUGAAUCUGUGAGCAGGGACAUAGGGGUGCCUGUCACCCUUGGCAUGGCAGCAGGAGACCUGGCCAUUCAUUCUCUGGAAGGCAUCCUAACCGUCCUCCCCCAAAAUACCACUGUCUAAAGGCCCCUCGGUUUCAAAGAAGACUGGAAAGCCACCCACCAAAAUGGUAAUGAUGGCAAGUACUUCAUAGCUCCUGGGGCCUUGGGAGAGGAGCACAUAGAAAUCACAAGAAAGAAUGAAGUGGGAGAUUAGGAGGAGUCCCCUGCACCCCCACCCCCCCAUUAGCAAUGGGGAACAUCAGUGAUUGCCUAGUAAGAAGGGAGGGUUUGAGUGGGUCCCCAAAGUUCUCUUCCUACCUGGAGCCCUGUGCAGAAUGAUCAGUAGUGGUUAAGGCUUCAGGCUCAGCCUUGCUUCCUCCUGAGCUCUGAUGCCAGCUCUCAAGGGCUCCUGGGAGUUGAAAUGGCCGAGGUAGGAGUGAAAGCUCGGGAGCCGGAUGGAGGGGUUUGACAUACUGGCCGUGAGCUUGGGUGGCUUCACUGCUCUGAACCUCAGUCUCCUGGUCUGUAAGACCGGACGAUUAGCAGUGCCUGCGUCACUGGGCUCGAUGGAGCAUAAAAUGAAGUCGUCUGUGGAGGAAAGCAGAGUGCCAGCACAAAGAUGGUGCCCAGCAAAUGUUAGCUUUCUCCUACUGUCUUAAACGGCACUUAUUAAUCAGUAGUUUCCUCUACGAUGAGUGAUGGGGCCCAGGGACUUAGGAGAAGCGGGUGGUAGGACACACGGGACAUGGAGAGUGCAAGCUGGGGGCCAGAGCGCAGGAGCAGGAAGUCUUUGUGGGGUUUCCCCUUGGUGACCCCCCUUCUCUGCCGGGUGGGCUGUAAGGAAUCUGCUGGGGUGCCUCAGGAGGAGAGCUCUCGGGGUCACAGUGGCCUCCUGAACCCUAGCCGUGGUCCCUCUGCUUGCCACAGCGAUGGCUCUCUCCUGGGCCCCCACUAUGUGAUGUAACGGGGCCGGCCAAGGCCAUAGGCUGUGAAACUUUCAUGUCCUGCUUGGAACCCCACACCCCCACAUCCUCUUUCCUCAAAUGGCAGGCUGUCGGGACUUGCCUCUCUGCAGGCUGUGUGAUGGAUGGGAAUGUGGGAGGGACGAGACUUAGGUGGGUCAUCGCGUUGCUCACACCUCCGAGAAGCACCUCCCCCUGCUCAGGGACUAAACGGGAAUUUGCUUGAGGGUCUGGAUUCCCUUGGGGACAUCACUCACCUGCAGGAGGUAAUCCCAGCCUGGUGGGUCAGGAAGGCCCAGAACCAUGAGUCUGUUUCCAUUUGGUUUAGUGUGAGUGAUUUUAAUGGGACCAGUUAGAAACAAUCUACCUUAUGUGUGUGAGGCACUUGACAACGCUUCUCGCGUGUGGUAGGAACCGUCCACUGCUGUUCUGUAAGGGAAACCUUGCUGGCCGGCUGGGUUCUUGUGCCUGGUGCUCCUAGGCCGGAUUUCUUUGCUUUAUGCGCUUGAAGUCAGCCGAUUUCGAAGCAAGGGGCUAUGAUUGGAGGGGGGCUAGGGCUCAGGGUCAGACAGGUGGACAGUAAGGGGCACUUCAUUUUCUUAUGGCCCCUGGCAGAGGUCACAGUGGAGUCCUGGCCAGAAAUUAUUUCAACCCCGGAAUGUUCCCUGCUUUCUAGCAGCUGCAGACGCGUAGGGGCCAGUUUGGCACAUGUAGCUGAAUGCUCAGAGCAUCUUGGUAAACUUCCGUAUCCCGGUUAUCCGGUCACUGUCAAAUCCUUCCCUGUCCUGGAGAAGGGGUCCUCGCUCAGACCCUGUGGUUCAUGUGGGACAAAUCAACACAAAGCAGGCUGUGCCUAGCUGUCUUCCCUUUUCCUGGCAAGCAGCCCUCACAGCUUCUAAAACCCUCUUCUGGCUCUAGUGAUCUCACAUGCCCCCUGCCUACCAGGGAAAUUAGCCAUGGAACCUUCUGGAAUGAUAAAUUCCAGAACUCUGGCUUAGUCACUAGGAUGCACAAAUGAAUGUCUAUUCUGUUUAUAACCACCACAUCCUGAUAAAUCCAUUCUUCAUGCUCCAGAUCUCUCAUGGUAGGGAGACAGUUCUUCCAAAACACUAAAAACUUUGGGGCUAUAGUCAGUGACCUUUUCCUCUCCGUUUCUCUUUAGUGAUGUGGUAAAGGGGUUGGUUUCUCUCCUUCAUUCUCAUGGGCCGUUAGUGGGAGGAGAUGUUCCAUUAUCUGAGCUCUAAUGAGCCCAGUAACUGGAGAAGAAGGGCCUGUGCGGGUGAUUUAAUUUGAAACUCAAUGGUCCAGUUUUUCUAGCCAGCUUUAUUCUGGACCCCAGAGCCCACAGAGUGGGGGUGUCUUGUCACCAGUCAGAUCCAGUACCUGCAGUGGUUUUGAGGGGGACACGAGGCCAGGAGGGAAGAGGAAAAGUGAAGGGAGGAGAGAAGAGGAGGACAAAGGAGGAGGGAGGGAAAAAGGGAGGAGAGAAGCCAAGCUCAAAGGAAGUACUGCCUGUUGUUUUUGCUAAUAACAAUGGCCCUUGAAAUUACCCAGGCCCAGGCAACAGUUCCUGCAUGCUCUGUGCUUUGCAGCUUUAGGGGCCUAAUCAAAGCCCUCCAGCUUUUAUAGUUGAUUCAAAAUGUUCCAGAGAAAAAAUGUGGCUUGUUGUGGGCAGCUUGAUGGCCUACUUCCAUGUGGUAAUGGGAUGGUUCCUGUCUGCUAGUCUAGAGCCCAAAUGGCCGUGGGCUACAGGUAGCAAUCCGAGGACAAACCUUAUUAAAAAAAAAAAAAAAGAGUGGGCCUGAUUUUUAUGUCUUUCACCAAACCCUUGUGUAUUUACCCAUCGGUAUGUUCUUCAGUAAUUCAUCCAUUCAUCUCACAUCCAUGAUCCACAGAAAAUAGCCCUCUCCUGCAGGCGCUCCCCUCGCAAGAAAAUAGCCCUCAGGAAAAUAGCCCUCUCCUGCAGGCGCUCCCCUCGAAUACACCAUGUCCCUGGGCUCCAUCUUUGAUGACACAUAGUACUCGCUCCUCCUUUGCUCCUUCAUUUGUAUGAAAAUGGGAGAGUUGGGCCUUCUCUUUCCUAAGGCUAGUGUUCUUUCUGGCUUCCUCAGGAUCCAAAGUUCCUUCUCCCCGGGGUUUUUCCAACAUCAUUUAAGUGUCUGGGUGACGGGCGCUCAGGAGGGCGCUUGUCUGAUGAGCACUGGGGGUUGUAUGUAAGUGAUGCAUUCGACUCCAGAAACCAAUCUUGCACGAUAUGUUAAGUACCUAAAAUUUAAAUGAAAAAACAUUCCACUGGGGUCCCUAGCCUCUCAGGUGUGACUCCAUCCCUCUCUUCCCAUACCCAGCCUGAAGGUGCCAGGAAUGUCCCUUUACCUCCUCUUCCAAUGAACACUGGGCUUUCAGCCCUACACUCCCUGCAAGUGCUCUCACCCAGGGCACCAUGGCCUCAAGAUAGACAAGCCCCAUAGCCAUCCUUUGUCCCUGCCGGCUGGGCCAUUCUAUGCUGCUGAGCACUGCCUCGUGGGAGCAUUCUGGUCGCCUGGCUCUGGCUGCUCUCAUCUCCCUGGUUGGCGCUUACUGACUUCUCCUCAUGGUCCGUAAAUAUCGGUGCCUCCCGGGGCUCUGCUCUGCCUCUUUCGCUACCCCUAUCUUGCUGCUUCAGUUCACAUUCACAUCCCCACGGCUCCCAGACCUGGAGCUGUCCUCUGCUCUGCGUCGCCCUCACCCGCUGCCUGGACUGCCAGAGGCACCCGCUUUGCUCCUCCAGCUCAGUUUCCACCACGACACCAGAACGAUCUAACGUCCAGCUUGUCAUGCCUCUCUUCUGCUCGAAACUCUUCUGUAAUCUCAAGGUCACCUUGAAGCUAAAGUCUAAAAUACUUCAUCUGACCUACUGGAUCCUUCAUGAUCACAUUUGCUCCUCUGCAGGUGUUCUCUUUCUGGAACACUCUUUCCAGGAUUGGGUAUCUGGCUAGCAAGUAAUAGGCUCUCAGGGGCUGAGUUGUGUGUCCUAACCUCUGGAAUGUGACUGUAUUUGGAGACAGGGUCUUUAAAGAGGUGAUUCAGUUACAAUGAGGUCAUGAGGUGGGCCCUGAUGCAAUGUGACUGGUGUUCUUAUAAGAAGAGGCGAUUAGGACAUAGACAUGCACCGAGGGAAGACCACGUGUAGACAUAGGGAGAAGGUGGUUAUCUACAAGCCCAAGAGAGAGGCCCCAAAAGAAAGCAACGCUGAUUGCGACUUAGGCUUUAAAUGCACUUUAAAGUCACCUGGUCAGGGAGAGGCCUUCCUUGACUCACCCUCAUAAAUUCCUCCCCUACCCUCCCUUUCCCUUUUGUCACACUUCCUAUGUGUGGAAUUAUUUAUUCUUCAGUGGCUGUGCUCCUGGCAAGUCCGUAAGGUUCUAUGAGUGUAGGAACUUUGGUUUGUCUGCUUACGGCCAUAUUCAGUAUUGGUGGCAUGACUGACUGAAUAGGCAAGUGGGCAGAUUUUAAAGCAUUGAUGGGAAGAUCCUCUGAGCUGAAAGACCACCGGAUUCACUUACGCUGAUUCGAGGGGGUGUGAGGAAGGAAAGACCGAACCCUGAUUCCUUAGUCUUGUCUGUCUGUCCUUGUUUAGGAGUGAGCUAAAUGAUAGCAGAAUUUUAAGAUGUUAUUCGAAUGGUAGUGUGGAUUUGAGAGUCAGGUCCUCUUCACCUCUUCAGUGAAGAACCUACCUGGAAAAGAACCCUGUGAGAGGAAUGUGUUGACAGGGAGGAGGUGGAGCUGGGCAAAGCAGCCAGAGGGCAUCAGGGUGGGGUUGGCAGCAUGGGGUGUGCGUGGGGAGGAGAAUGCUGGAAAGGUAGGUUUUUGCAAGGAAGACACUCUUCACCCACAACUCAAUCUCUGGUACGGUUUCCCUGGAAUAAAGAAGGGUCCAACAGGCUGCUCCUGUUUGGUAACUAUUGAGUGAGACAGAUGUGGAGGGAGGGAUUCCAGAAGGCUCCAUGAGACAUACCCCAGCUUAUGUCUGUUUAGACUAAAUUUCUCCUUGUAGUAUUUUGUCCUUUUAAACUGAGGAUGGGAGAGGGACCCAGGUUCCUCGGAACAGGAAGGUAAGAAGGCAUCUCUGGUCUUCUUUUCGCAUUUUCCACAGUUCCCCUUUCCAGAGCAUCCCCUCACCUAACCUUUUGGGUGACGCCUCCAGCCCAGGAGCCCACCCCUCCUUGAAAUCUGUCCACUCUGGGGCGGGGCUCUGGCCCAAGUGUGCAUCUCAUGACCCCUUUCCGCUGGCAUUGGACUGAGAUGGGCCCA